UGCUCCCUCAGGAUAACAAACUUAGAGAGCUUGACUCCUGGUUCUGGAUCUUACAAGAAGAAGCUGGCCACCAGAGUUUAGGGCAGAAUCCAGGCCAGCCCCUGGGCCUUGAGUAAACCUGAAAGGAGUCUUCAGUCACACAGAUGAGCCCGCCUGGGCACAGCAACAUGCUACACACCUUGUCCCUGACAUCUCUAUGGGUCUGCUCCGGCUCCUGCACAUGUGUGAACCUUCCCAAGUAUGCUCCAAAGAAGUCAUUCCACCCUCAUUGCAAAGCUGCCCCCUGCUGGCUUCUCUGCCCAGAGUCAUCGGAUUAACCUACUUGUUUUGGCUGCUGUGGUGUGUCCCCAGUCGGCCCACCUUCCUGGUGGCAACAUGCCCAGGCCACAAACAGCCUGACCAGAGUCCUGAGCCAUGAACAUCUCUCCGGGUACCGCCUGAGCCAUGUGGGCUUAGGCCCCACCCAACUGUUCCUGGGCACAGUGCCAGGAUGGGGUGGGUCUGUGCAUCUCUGUGGCUUCUACACAAACAGAUGCAACAUGGGGGCGCCCCUGGCACAGAGAAAGGCACUUGUGGGAGAAGAGACUCGGGAAAACAUGUAACAUACUGCACACGUGUAGCAUCCCCGUGCCUAGGGACAUACAAUAUCGCAGCGAUUAACACCAGAAUAUGCAGUAAACAUGCCACGCUGCGGGGGUAUGUGUGUUGCUUCUACAUACUAGUUACCCAUAGCAGUCUACACACAUGUGGCACCUGUGAGCUUCUACACAUACAGUAUUCUUAAGGCACACGGAAAAAGCAGCAUGCAUUCAGGACCUGAGCGCAUGUCGAUGCAUAUGUGCAGCAUUUGCAUGCACCCAGCCAGG
This is a long non-coding RNA of Rattus norvegicus (Norway rat), 866 nucleotides long. The record is from Ensembl. Lineage: Eukaryota; Metazoa; Chordata; Mammalia; Rodentia; Muridae.